GAAAUAUCUGUCAUAAAAUUUUAAAAAAUGCCUCCAAAAGUCUAAAAAAGGAAAAAACGGAAUAAACUUUGCAGAAGCAGAUGUGCAACCAAAUGUCAUUCUAAGAAAAUGAUGAAUAAAUGUGACAAGACAACCAAACUUAACAUAUCCUAACUAGUAACCAAUAUCCAGAAAAAUUACAGUUAGGAAUCAAAAAUAGUACCCAUUUUAAAAAAAAGAUGAACAAGAGAAUGUAAACCAAUUUCCUUAUAAAGCGACUUUAGCAAAAUCCUGAAAAAGACAUCAGAAGUUAGAACGAUGAAUUCAUGGACAAAUUUAACAAAAAUCAGUACGAGCAAAAGUAACACUUGUGGAGCAACAAAAGAUCUACUAGAUUACAUAACUAAAAAGAUACGUACCGUAACAUUUUUAACCCUCGGUAUGCGGCAGCGACAUCUCUGGAGACACGUUGAAGGUUAACGAAACUGCCCUCGCCGCUAGGAGGCCGGUAUAUUGGCGCCACAUUUAAAUAGUAGCAAAUAAAUAUAGUAAUAAUAAUAAUAAUAAUAAUGUAUAUUUAUUUAGCAAAAAAUGUGUUACAUAUAUAAAUAAAAUAUGAUCCUGCUAAAAAAAUACAUUAUACAAUUAAA
Anthonomus grandis grandis is the source of this 629-nucleotide long non-coding RNA. RefSeq lists it as uncharacterized. The record is from RefSeq and is a predicted model, not a curated record. Lineage: Eukaryota; Metazoa; Arthropoda; Insecta; Coleoptera; Curculionidae. The transcript has 2 exons.